GUUAUCGUAUGUGAAGCUUAUAAAAUGAGGUAAUUUUCUAAUCUCCUUGACUAGGUGUAAUGUUAUUUAUUUGAUUUGGCCAGAGUGGGACAGUCUGAUGUCUAAGGCUACUUAUUAAAUGCUGGAAUCCAAUAAAACACACAUUUACAGCUUCUGUAUUAUUUAUCUCAUGUUAACAUAAAGGGCUAAGCUUUUUGUUGAACAUAAUCUUUACCCUAUGUAUUUGUGUUUGUGUACAUACAUGAGUUGUUGUUGCUGCCCUCUUGGGCUCUUGAAAAUACAGCUAUUUAUUUCACAUGUGGUCUCUAGGUGUGUGUGUGUGUGUGUGAGUGUGAGAGAGAGAGAGUGUGAUGUGUAUGUCUGAAUGUUCUGUGACAGGGAUUGUCUGGGGACCGUUUCUUUGAAAUGCAUGAAAACACAUUUUUAUACUGUGUAACGAUGGUAAGAUUGAAAUGUUGUGGACUUGUUUGUCCAGAUAUGUGGGUGGAGAUUUUUUAGAGACGUUUACUUGGCACAGGGAAAUAAAGAACAAAGAUUCACCCGAUCAUGGGGUCAUCUAAGUGAUUUACUGAUUGGAUGAAAGAGAGAUGUUACCAUGGGGAUGAUGUAUGGAGGGGAAGGUUUGAUACAAGUCUUCUGGAAUGGGAGGAGUCUUCAUACUCCCUCCAUGGGGUCCUGAACUAUCACGUUUCAUUCCCCUUAGUCCCGUUUACCUCCUCUCCUUAAAACUCUUUUGCCUUAGACUUCACGUAUGUUUCCAUCGCUGCUCUUUCUCUUGGUUCUCUUUUUUAUUGUCGCCGUCUGGUGAAAACCUCAUCUCCAAAAACAGAAACAUUUCAGGAAAUUGAAAAGAUUAGAACAUUUCCCCAUGAACAAACAUACAAUUAUGAAACUUCCGAAACUAUUUUGAAUAGGAUUUAUUGGUCCCAGAGUCAUGAAAGGUUCAGAGUACAUUGAGGGGAGUUAGUGCUUUAAAUAAAUGUCAAAAUAAAACAUUUGGCAAAACAUUUUGUUUGGUUUUCAUCAGACAGCGAGUGACAUUCUGUAAACGGCUUGUAUAGUUUUUUUCAUAACAAUUCUAUCGGCCAAAUCCCUCCUGGAUAUGAAUUGCAAUAGGACUGGAUAUCUCAUGAUGGAUUGAACAUCUGUUUAUUGUGGUGGUGAAAAUAUUGUUUUAUUACAAUGUUUGUGAUAAUUUCACAGACAUUUUGGAUCACUACCUUAGCUUUGUGGUUGAUACUGGGUUGUUUACACAGAACGUACAUGUUAUUCAACAACAACGCCAGUACUUAUUUGCAUAGCAGGCACACAAAUGCAAACUUUACCUCACAUGUCACAUACAAUUCACUUGCACGUUUGUAUAUUUAACAAUACUUUAACUACAUUUUACAACUGCUAAUGGACUAGCUUGUGGGCCAAGCCACCUGUCUACAAAUAUUCAAUUUCACCAGGAUGUUUGAAAAAUAUACAACAUAUUUUGCUAUCUUUGUUUGCCAAUUGUCCAGCAUAGUCUUGUUAGGUUCAGGAACCUAUUUCUGCUGGUGAGGAAUGGCUUGGACAAGCUGAGGUACCCACAUUUCAACCUCCAAACAUGUUCCUCCUCCAUGUUAAUAAUACAUCUGCUAAAUGUGUGUUGAGAAAGUUUGAUAAGAGUUUAAUUCGUCAAAGCAUUUUUACAGAGACAAAGAUGUUUGUGUUCUGUAGGAAAAUGGUUUAUUUCAGACAUUCACCACAAAUGAUUGGUUUAUGUUCAUUGUACUAUUCCUGGUAUCUGUUUAGGUUAGUUUGCACCUAAUGGAGGACUUCUUAAACCAACCUCCCCUCCUCUCCAAAAAGAAAGGAGGACCAAGUCACUCUUCAUAUAAUUAAUUAAAUUGCCUUUAUUUGUAUGGCACGUUCAAUGUAACCAACAUUUAAAAACUCCUCUCUGCCAGGGUUUCUCCCAGCUAGAGCUGUGUUACUUUUCUCUGAGAGCACAGAGAAAACAACGCUUUAACCUUCUCAUCAAUCUGGAAGUUACAGCCCCACACAGUCACUAGAACAUUGGGAAUAGUGCUUAAAUUGAUCUCGAAAUUAAAAACAUUAAUACGAUACUGUUAUCUGUCUCGUAACAUACUUUUGCUCUGUCCUGUGCAUUUCCUUUGGGUGAGGCACGUGGUGUGAUUUGGGGAGACAAACAGGACAUAUUAGGACUAUAGUUUUGUGUGGACUCAGCGCCUGGGACCCUGAUGUAGGUAUGCUAUGAGCAUGUUGCCAUUGAAACCCCUGUUGCAUGAAUUCCUUUAACAAAAUGCCAUGUGUGUCCUGUAAUGGUUGUGGUAUUAACAUUUUGCAGAUUUUAUUAUAAAAAAAUACACUAAAGAAUGG
RNAcentral lists this long non-coding RNA (2367 nucleotides) under Salmo salar (Atlantic salmon). RNAcentral describes it as "lncRNA (ENSSSAG00000101277.1)". The record is from RNAcentral. Lineage: Eukaryota; Metazoa; Chordata; Actinopteri; Salmoniformes; Salmonidae.